GGGAGUAGAGAAUGAAAUAGCAAUAGGAAGACAAACAAUAAAUGACAUAAUUUGAACAGAGAUGACCUUGUCUAGACUUUUUUGUUUAGAAACAGGGAAACAGGUCUGCAGAAGGAAAUGGUUUUUCUAAGAUCACACCUUCCCUUGCAAUGAUAUUCCAGGAUUUUCAUGACUUUGAUUUUUAAAAGUUGACUGUGGGGAAAAUGAAAUGCAUGCUGAAAAGGUAGCUCUGAGGCCAGAGUUCUGGGCACAUUCCUGUUGGUAGACUAUAUUCAGGAAUGCUGCUAGCUCUUAGGAGAGAAGAAAAGUGCUCUCAGAAUCUUGUUUCAUGUAUAUACCGCCCUUUUCUUGGAUAAAGCUCGGAAGGACUUUCCUUUACCAUUCCCGGCUCCACUCUCCCAAGGGGCUAGUGAAACAUUUGACCUUCCAUUUCCUAGCAUCUUAGGGAAGGCCAGGCAGGCAACCAAGUGGUCUUUUGGUUUGAUGUGAAAAGAGGAGACUUUAGCUCCAGCUUCAGUUUCUGGUUGUGAUUUGGUGGAGCACCCAGAGUGAACACGCAGUUUGGGGCUCUGGUUGAGGUAGGAGAGAGGGUUGUAAGGACACAGCUGGAAAUGGCUCAUUCCAGUACAACGCGAGUACAAGUAAAAUCCUCGUUCUCAUAAACACGGCUACAAACCUCCGUAGCCCAGAGGUGUUCAAGCUCACACAUUUCAGUCAAUACCCCGUGUACUAACCGAUUUGGGUGGCUCUGGAAAUCAAAGGAAGAUGGUCAGAUCAGCGGUGGAGCUCCUCUAUGGUGUGACUCAGCUGUUGAGUCAGGGGAACCAUUUAUCUCUUCCCAUUUCAGGUUGGACUAAUAACUGCAGUCUCUGGAAGGACUAAGUGUACUUCCAUGGAAAGAAACUAAUCAGAAGGACAUUUGGGGCUCAUUUGGCCAAAAUAUAGUACAUGCUCUUGAAGUUUCCACAAUAGAACCAUCUGUUUUGGGCUGGUUCUUUCUUUAUUAUCCCUGCCCCCUCCCCUUUUGGUCUGUCUUACUGUCUCUACCUCAUUUCUCAAUUGAGCCUUCCAAGUUAGCGUGAUUACCUCAUGGCUAUAAAACAUGGCUAAGAACCGAACUUUUCACAUUUCUCCAAAGGGGCUUCAGAUAUCUGGUGGAUACAUUUCCUUCAUUGGCCAAGUUUUCCCAGGGCCUUUCUUUUACAUCUUAAUAUCUGUCUGACUGCAAGAGGGGUUUUUGUGUGUGUGUGUGUGGGGGGGGGGGGGGUGUUGCCCUUUUGUGCCCAUGAACAUUUAACAAAAGUAUAGAGAGGAGCUCAGCCAAGUAGAUGCUCUUCCAACUAUCCUGUUUCUUGGCUACCGAUAUAAAUAAAAGAGGCUGCGGCCACAACAUUUUCAAGUUAGCAGAAGGAAAAUAUACUUAUCAGUGGUGACUGCUUUCAAAAAUAACAUUUAUUGUUUUCUUAAUUAUAAAGUUAAUAUGUCCCUGCAGAGAAUUUGGAAAGCUCAAAGAAGCAUAAGGAAUAAAUUAAGUUACUCAUUUGUGCAUGUUUUGAAAAGUUUACCCUCAAAGCUUUUGUAAGAAAAGACCCUCUUCUGUGGAAAUCUGGCUUUCUUGUUUAGAAUAUCUGUCUUCUCUUUCAGUUUCUAAAUCUUAUUAUAAGAGUUCCUCAGUUGCUAUAAACUCCAUACUGAACCAAGGACUUUCUGAAUUAAUAAAAGAAAGAAUUCAUUUAUUCCAAAUAUCCUGAUGACUGAUUUUCUGAUGAGAGCUACCACAGGUAACACAGUGCUUGAGUUACAUGCUGUGUUGCAAACCAAUUUUGGGGGAUAUUGUAAAUAUUAAAGUAAAGAGGAAAAAAGUAAGUUUGUAGGAUCAAUUUUUUUUCUUAGAGUGAAAAAAUGCAUAUAACUUUAGAGAAAUCUCGAAUGCAACCAGCUACUGUGUAUCCUUAGUAGAAUAGAUUUUUCUAGAAAGAUGAUUGUCAUGGUCUGGCUUUAGUGGUAGAUGUUAGCUUAGCUCCAGUGUGGUGAUGCUAAAACAAUUCCUAGGGGCAUUUUCAUAUUCACUUGACUCAUUCCUAAUUAUAGGAGAGCAUCACAUCAGCAUUCUGUCUUCCCAAGUUAUGUUGGAAGUCACAUGAUUAGUCCUUCGGCAAAAGUAGGGGGAGGGGGUUAAAUAUUUAAAGUUUUGAACUGAGUUCAGGAAAUAGGUGGGUGGACAUCUUAUUUCUUAGCCUGUUAUCAUGUGAUUUGUGUGUGGGAAUUACUUUUUAAGCAAGAAUAGUGCACUAUAUUGACUGACCAUGUUGUCCAAUGUAAUGUUCCUGAGAACCAGAGUGUAGACAAGUGCUCUUUGUCUGAGUGAAUGAAAACCGUGUAUUGGCAUGAAUGGCCAUGUGCAUUUGCAGGGAGCAGGGGCACAUGCCAGGGCCUAUUGAAAGAAAAUGUUAAAAGCAUAUACAUAAAACUUAUCUGUGGAUCAGACGGGGGCUGCCGGGAAUGCGUGUUUUCCAAGUCUUAAACUUGCACUGGAAGCAAAAGUGAGGUGUGGGUGGUUGUACAGAGGAAAAAUGCUCUUGGAACAACAUUAGACGUGAGGUAAUCAGUGGUCUUCAGAACCUGCAGUCCACUGCAAGAAUUUCUUAGGCCUUAAAGGUUGUAAAAGAGGCAGUUGUGUUUGCUUUGUGCAUUUUACAGCUAUUCAACGUGAUACUUUGAAAGGAGGGUCAAUGUCUUCUUGGCUGAGGAACUUGAAGUUGACUUGUGUGAGUGAAGUCUGAGGGUUCUAAUGAGUAGUGAUUAACAGCUCUGGGAAGAGUGCUCAUCCCUGAACCCUGCCCUGUGUGACCUGCUCCCAGAUUUUCAUCCAUGCCAGAAGAGCCAAUGAAAAGAUAAAGUCGAUGGACUAGGAAAUACCACAAGUACCUGCCAGAGUUCUGAAGUAUAGUGUCAAACGACAGGGCUGUGUAGAGAUGGCAGACAGACCUGAGGUGAACACUGAUUUUCUCCCAGUAGCUGUGUGACCUUAUUUCACCUGUAAAAUGGAGUGAUAACACUAUCACUUCCCCCAUCUCCACUAUACACCGGGUACAGCCUUGAUUCUAGCUCACCUGGCCAAAGUUGCAGCAUGCUGUCAUCCUACUUCGAUUCUUGUCUGCACACCAGCCGGGGUGGCCAUGAAGCUCACUCUCUCCAUCAGAAACCAUCUUGUGUUUGCUUUUUGUUAUGUCUCUCUGGUGCCCACUACAGAAGGCAAGCUUCAUGCUCAUGCUUCGGGUGCUCUGUUCUCGUUCUUUCAAACAAUUUUAAUUUCUGAGCUAAUUUGAAAUGGAAAUCAGGAAACCUAGAAUCUAGACUUAGUGCUGGCGCUUACUGGUUGGGAGUCUUUAAUUAAGUCACUUCUGGAGGCCUCGGUUUCCUUACUUGUAAAGAGGUGUAAUUAGUUUGCUAGGGCUUCCAUAAGAAAGUAGCACAGCCGAAACCGCUUAAACAACAGAAAUUUAUUUCCUCACAAUUUUGAAGGCUAGACCUUUGAGAUCAAGGUGUCACCAGGGUUGGUGCCUUCUGAGGCUUCUCUCGGAGAAGAUGUCGUCUCCCCCCUGUGUCUUCACAUGAUCUUCCCUCUGUGUGUGUCUGUGCCUUCUUAUAAGGACAACAGUCAUACUGAAUCAGCACCCAAUUGUACCUCAAUUAUCUCCUUAAGAUUUUCUUAAAA
Molecule: long non-coding RNA, 3718 nt
Organism: Myotis daubentonii (Daubenton's bat)
Lineage: Eukaryota; Metazoa; Chordata; Mammalia; Chiroptera; Vespertilionidae
Source: RefSeq, a predicted model, not a curated record